CCUUACGGGGCGCAGCAGGCGGGAAAACUUUACAAUGCUGGAAACAGCGAUAAGGGGACCUCGAGUGUCAGGUUACAAAUUUGGCUGUCGUGAUGCCUAAAAAGCAUUGCAUAGCAAGGGCCGGGCAAGACCGGUGCCAGCCGCCGCGGUAACACCGGCGGCUCGAGUGGUAACCGUUAUUAUUGGGUCUAAAGGGUCUGUAGCCGGCCGGAUAAGUCUCUUAGGAAAUCUGGCAGCUUAACUGUCAGGCUUUCAGGAGAUACUGUCUGGCUAGAGGCCGGGAGAGGUGAGAGGUACUUCAGGGGUAGGGGUGAAAUCCUGUAAUCC
This 327-nucleotide ribosomal RNA is filed under the name uncultured archaeon. RNAcentral's name for it is "bacterial SSU rRNA". It matches the Rfam family "Archaeal small subunit ribosomal RNA", at positions 321 to 648 of the family's 1478-position model. The record is from RNAcentral.